This is a small nuclear RNA of Dromiciops gliroides (monito del monte), 103 nucleotides long. The record is from RefSeq and is a predicted model, not a curated record. NCBI's taxonomy places the organism in Eukaryota, Metazoa, Chordata, Mammalia, Microbiotheria, Microbiotheriidae.
GUGUUUCAGCAGCACAUACAUUAAAAUUGGAAUGAUACACUGAAGAUUAACAUGGCCUCUGAGCAAGGAUGACAUGCAAAUUCAUGAAGCAUUCCAUUUUUUU